GCCGCUGUGGCGAAAUUGGCAAACGCACAUCACUCAAGAUGAUGCGGGAGAAAUCCCUUGUCGGUUCAAGUCCGACCAGCGGCA
Molecule: transfer RNA, 84 nt
Filed under: Candidatus Tayloriibacteriota bacterium
Lineage: Bacteria; Candidatus Tayloriibacteriota
Description: tRNA-Leu
Rfam family: tRNA
About the family: Transfer RNA (tRNA) molecules are approximately 80 nucleotides in length. Their secondary structure includes four short double-helical elements and three loops (D, anti-codon, and T loops).
Source: RNAcentral